GCACAGCCCAGCAGAUGGAAGGCAGGCCAGUUGGGUCUCAUUCAGGAGCAGCCAAGUUCUUGCUUUCAUCUGAGCUACUUAGACUCAGCUGUGAACAAGGACCUCCAGUGAGCCCCACGGCAUUUUUGACCUCUGCAAAAAAUUGCCUGGAAGCCCACAGAGCACAAGAUCUGUAAAAGCAGACCAUGAUGAGGUCUAGAGCAAGAGCACUACAGCUCAGUCACUCCCAUCUAGUCAGGAAAUGGGCAAAGAAGGGAAAAGUCAGAGUUGCUCACUUUCACCCAAAAAAGCAUCUAGACCACUAAAAGGCAUGGGAAAUACAGACAGACAGGAAAGAGUCGAAGAAGAAAUUGUAGUUUGUACUGAAGGACUAAAAAAUUCCUCUAUUAAAUAAUGUGGUUGUGUGUACAUUAAGACAGCAUUUAAGAGUCAA
Long non-coding RNA from Neopsephotus bourkii (Bourke's parrot), 433 nucleotides. RefSeq lists it as uncharacterized. The record is from RefSeq and is a predicted model, not a curated record. The transcript has 2 exons. Lineage: Eukaryota; Metazoa; Chordata; Aves; Psittaciformes; Psittacidae.